Molecule: ribosomal RNA, 253 nt
Filed under: uncultured bacterium
Lineage: Bacteria
Description: partial 16S ribosomal RNA
Rfam family: Bacterial small subunit ribosomal RNA
Source: RNAcentral
UACGUAGGGGGCAAGCGUUGUCCGGAAUCAUUGGGCGUAAAGCGCGUGUAGGCGGCUCGAUAAGUCUGCUGUGAAAGUCCAAGGCUCAACCUUGGGAUGCCGGUGGAUACUGUCGAGCUCGAGUCCGGAAGAGGGAUGUGGAAUUCCUGGUGUAGCGGUGAAAUGCGCAGAUAUCAGGAGGAACACCAAUGGCGAAGGCAGCACUCUGGGACGUGACUGACGCUGAGACGCGAAAGCGUGGGGAGCAAACAGG